This is a long non-coding RNA of Magnolia sinica, 862 nucleotides long. RefSeq lists it as uncharacterized. Lineage: Eukaryota; Viridiplantae; Streptophyta; Magnoliopsida; Magnoliales; Magnoliaceae. The transcript is spliced from 7 exons. The record is from RefSeq and is a predicted model, not a curated record.
GUGGCUUCCAGUGUUAUAUGACACUUCCAAGGCAACAUAUGAGCUCAUUCAAAAGAUACUACUUACAGGACUGGAGCCUGGAGCUGUUGAUGUGUUUCUUGAUUUCAUUUACUACUCAGGUGGUCCUCUACCUGACGAACUGCUCACCCAAGUUAAGGGAGUUCAUGUUUUAGAGGACUUUGUUGCCGAGCAAUUGAGGUCCAUGAUUUCUGAUAUGUAGGUUGCUGUGGUCACUCAGGUUGGCAGCUGGUAUACAGGAAGUCAAAGUUGAAAUGAAAAUGAUGCCCAUCCCAAGCAUUACAACAAAUAUGAUGUUGAACUGUGGUGCCAAUUAUUUCUAUUAGAUCUUGGGCCAUUUCUAGAGAAAACCCAGAAAUCUUUUGCUCUGCUGUGAGUGAUUACAUAUCAGCUGUGAAGAAAUUAGCUUGUGGAGUUCUUGAAUCUUUAACUGAAGGGCUGAAGGUUGAACCAAGCUUAACUGGUUUUGGAGAACACUGACCCUCAGAUAAUAUCAGUUCUGAGAUCAAACAAUACAUCAGGCCUUCAAAUCUCUCUCAGUGAUGGGAGCUGGGUUUCAGUCCCACCUGACCACAACUCCUUUGUCAUUGUUGGUGAUUCCUUGCAGAAUGGGCUUAAUAUGGUGGACCCAAUUGAGAAUGGGAGAGCAGCAGUAUUGCAAGAGUAGUGGUGAAGUACAGUUGCCAUCUCUGGAAGGAGGCUAGGUUGCUUGGAGUUGUUUGAAUCAUGGGAUGAGGCAUCAACCUUCACGUUGCUAACCAUGUAAUCCUUGUUGACGGUUCGUGGAACCCUACUUAUGAUCUUCAGGCUCAGGUUUGGAGGUAUGACAUAAUCGAGAUAUUUA